RNAcentral lists this ribosomal RNA (253 nucleotides) under uncultured microorganism. Its description in RNAcentral is "partial 16S ribosomal RNA". It matches the Rfam family "Bacterial small subunit ribosomal RNA", at positions 524 to 776 of the family's 1533-position model. The record is from RNAcentral.
UACGGAGGGUGCGAGCGUUAAUCGGAAUUACUGGGCGUAAAGCGUGCGCAGGCGGUUUGUUAAGCGAGAUGUGAAAGCCCCGGGCUCAACCUGGGAACCGCAUUUCGAACUGGCAAACUAGAGUCUUGUAGAGGGGGGUAGAAUUCCAGGUGUAGCGGUGAAAUGCGUAGAGAUCUGGAGGAAUACCGGUGGCGAAGGCGGCCCCCUGGGCCUGUACUGACGCUCAUGCACGAAAGCGUGGGGAGCAAACAGG